AACACAAUUGUGGUUAUCAAAUGUGAUAAAAAAAACGUUCUGAAAACAGCUAAAAAUGGAUGAAUCAAAUUCUGCGAAAUCUGAGAAGAAGAAAAAAAACAGAGAAAGAAACAAAUUGUUAACUCAACUAAAAAAAUAAAACCUUCUCUCCUUUAUCUCUCUAACUCA
Hibiscus syriacus is the source of this 168-nucleotide long non-coding RNA. RefSeq lists it as uncharacterized. The transcript has 3 exons. Lineage: Eukaryota; Viridiplantae; Streptophyta; Magnoliopsida; Malvales; Malvaceae. The record is from RefSeq and is a predicted model, not a curated record.